GGCCCAACACCAAGGAGAUACUCAGAAGGCUUGAGGAGAUAGCAAAAUAAUUAACUAAAUGUGGGUAGGUUCACCAUUCAGACGUAGCACGAGGCAAGGCUCAAGGAACGACUGAACCUCUGCUGGACGGAAAAUUGGAGAAUGGAGGCACACGGUUCAGAUAUCAUGGAAUGUGUAUAGUCAGAGUGUAAGCGCGGUGGAGGCCAUCGUCUCAAGAAUAUACUCAUUGUACGUAAUUUAUUUUCUUGUGCUUUGCUUGAAACCGACCAUGUACAAAGUGUUGAAAGAGUGGGGACGGCGUAUGCUGCAUGUUCAUGCAUCAAAAUCGCCAUGUCGAUGUAACCUUGGUCUGAUCUGAGUGUUAUAUCAGAUAUGAUUGGUAGGAGCAUUUGCUGUGCAGCUUGUGAUGUUCCCGGUGCAUGUGCGGUUGUUCUACUUGUACGCACUGACAAGGGCCGGCAGGGAGUGAUUCUCUCCAAGGGAAUUAUGCCCAGCGUUGCCUGAUUUCGGUCUCUGCACAGUCAUGCUGUCCUUAACAGUGGCUAGAUUCCGAAAUAGUAAGAAAUUAAGAUUCGGAACUUUUGGUUGUAGCUAGAUUGCUCAGCGGCAUGGCCUCAAAAACAGGUCACCAUCCACCACCUUCUCUUUCGCCGACACCAAAAGCGUAGCGUCCGUAACACACGGGCCUACAGUCUGCUGAUUUAUUUCGUAACCUGCAAAUGAAUCGCCUAUUCACUAUCCCACGUCAACAAAUGAUCAUCCUGUGCUAGCUUAAGCUUACCAAACGAUCUUCGGCUUGACGCCAGAAAAACUUACUGAUCAUCUCGAGUCUCCUUGUCCCUGAAUUAUCGUAAUGAGACGGAACAUGAAAGGCAUGUGUCAUGGCCUCCGCUGGCCGAGUGAUUAUCAGGUGGGUGAGGCCUUGGUUUGUGCCACCGGUUAGCCGCGGCGUCUCUCUCGCAGCGCAGGGAAAGCGGCAGCACGUGAAGCGCCAACGAACCCACCGAGAAAACUUGGAGCAAGCCUCCAAGCCUCCAAGCCGGGACCGCCUCUCGUCGUCCUCCAACUCCGCGGCCCCCUAAUGGUAGAUCUUGUGGGCACGUACAUACGUCCGUAGGCCGUAGCGUAGAUCAAAUGCCCCUGCGCGCGCUCAGGCCGGCCGGCCGGUCCGGUCCGGUGCACGGACGCCUGCGCUCGCCGUGCCGUAUCAUCAAUUUGCUAAUGCACAUGUCCCUUGGUCACAAAUCUUACGAUGUGUACUGUCGACGCGUUUUUACUGCCUCUGGCCCGUUGCCGACGCCGACGCCGAUGCCAUGGCCGUGCGCCGUGGUCCUCGCCCGUCCAUUCGCGGCUACUACAGUUGUGCGCGCCGUCCGUCGUGUAGCGUCUUGUGGGCAUGCGGCGUGCACCGUGUUUAACUUGGUAAGCUAAGCCGCACACGGCGAAGUGUUCGGGUCGGUGGGAGGCGGGUCACCGUACCUACCUAUGCGUCGACAUGUACCCGGUGUACGUACGUGCCGGGCCGCGACGGCGAUGGCUGGGGAGAGGAGAUGGUGGUGGAUUGGUGGUGGCGGUGGUUGCGCGUGGCUGGCGCGGCGGAGUAGGAGUGGUAGGGCGUCGGGGCGGUACCACGCGGAUUGGGUGCGCGUGCACGGCGCCGAGCGCAGGGGGCUGCGUGGCCGGAUGAUAGAUGCGUCGCACGCAGGCGCAGGCAUGUGGGCGUCAUGUGGUAGGGAGUUGGCUGUGGGUGCUACUACUGGGUGAGAUAAGGCUCUGAUAAGAUGUGAUUUGGCUACUGCCGCUCGCGAUUCGCUGCUGCGCUGUCUACUCAUUGCGAGAGUUGGUGCUUGUCACUGAAUGUGAAUGGUACCGUACCGGAGUUAAAUCAAGUGAAAGCAGCAAGUACCACUGCCGGUGCCGGGGUUUAUUUAUGUUGGGUUGCACUGCGGCGCUGCAAUCAUCGCUCUUCCGUGCGGCUUCAUUCGUUCCUUUGCUGGGGCCGGGGGAAACGGGUUGGCCUUGGCCGUCGCCGGCCGAAUGCAAUAUGGCAUCGCGACCCAAAGCUUUUGCUGCGGUAUUGCCGACUUGCAAGUUAAGUUUUUUUUUUUAAUGAACGAGCAAGCUCGGUUGAGAUCCUUGCCUUUUCAACCUUGAACAGCGGUAUUUGUUUUGAUAGAGUAUUUUUCAUUAAUUCAUAUUGAAACACAAGCAGAUGUACAAAAUACAACGAGCACACAGCCAGCCACUACACGACUAGGAUGCACACAACCAAUACACACACAAAGAUAUUCAUCACAAGAUCAAAACUAUGCCUAGGUCAAAUGGAAAAGAAAGAGAAAAGAAAAGGAGAAAGGACUUCGCCGAAGCAGUAGAAACAACCAUUGAUGUGGCAUGCCCUACUGCAAACAUGACUAGUACACAAGUCAUGGUGAGUACGUCGGUCAAUGACAAGCGGUUGCAGGCAACUUCGGCAGUCGUCGACAAAGGGGUGCGAACGGAGGAUAUUACGAAUGAGGCAGCGACAAUGCAUGUGGACGAGGCGGAUGUCGGAAAGAAAGUUGUUGAUGUGAGUUGUAAUUAUGUAAGGACAUGAGGAUUAUAUUGUAAAAGAACAAAAAUCUAAAUGAAGGGAGGUGAGAAGGGGAUCGGUAGAAGACCCCAGAUUUUUCCCCAAUGUCUCCUCUCCUUCAUGAACCCUAGUUCACAAAUCCAUGAGUGACAAGAUGGUAUCAGGGCGGGACGAAUCCUGUGUGGUUCUCCUGUGAUUUCGAUUGAUUUUGGUCGUCGGUGCGGUGCGGUGCUGUGUCGCUCCUAUUGUUGGAGGUGCUUCUGCUGCUGGCUUUGUUGUAGGUGUCGGGAAGCGACCUCGAUUCUGCCUGAAUCAAGUACAACCGGGGAGGCUCCUGCAGCUACCAGUUGAAUUGAAUAGAGCCUGGGCGUCUAGACUCCCUCCCCCGCUACAAGCUAAUUUUUUCUCUCCUGCCAUCCGGCGCCGUGAGCAGGUCUAGUUCGUCCCCAACUUGACUCUCGGACUCCUUGAGCUUCUGUGUUUUUUAUUGCUUUAGAAGAAGAAUCAGUGUUGCCUGGAGCUGCUUUGGUGGUCAGCUGGCCGGAUUAAAUAAUACUAUUUGCUAGUGUUGCAAUCCGAAGUAAUUGCCGUACUCUUUGGCACAUUGUUGAGCCGUACUAGUUGGUUCCUCUUUGUGCUGCACGUAUUUGAUAAGAAGAACCAAGUACUAGUGUUGGAAUAUAUUCUUGCUCACUGAACCAUGGGAGAUCCAAGUACAGAAAAACAGGGGAUUCUAGUGUUGAUAAGAUGUAUGAAAUAUUUAGCAAACUGCUUAAGCACCAGCAGGCUGCUGAGCCAGUUAAGCAUACACUUGAGCCAAAUCCAGUCAAACUAUCAGGACCUGGUGACUACAUCAGUUGGGCACGCCAUGCCAAAUUGAUUUUGAGCGCCAAUGAGUAUGAUUAUUUACUUGUUGGGAGUGAAGAAAGUUUGGAGAAAGGCGGUGCGGGCAGGAAACAAAUCAAUGAUAAAGUACUAGUAUGGCUGUUGGAAAGUAUGGAACCAAAAAUAAGAGAACAAGUGGAAGGCAUGGACACUGUUUGUGAGGUCCGGUCAUCUUUGAAGAAACAAUUUGCAGGGAAAACAAAUAAAAUGCAAGCCACCCAUAUCAUGCAUGAGUUAACUAAUUUGAAGCAGCGCUCAAGAUCUGUAACAGAGUAUCCAGGUGAAGUAAAAAAAUUAUAUAGAAACUUACAUUAUCAUCACCCUUUUGAACCUGUUGACAAGGAUGACUUGGCAAUUCAUCAUGUGUGGUUUGAGUCGUUUGUGAGCAAGCUCUUUCUUGAUGGCCUAGACCAGGAACUAAACCUCCGUCGUCAAUUGAUAUUUGGAAUGCCUGAGUGGCCUAGUCUUGAUGAUAUUAUUUCUAGCAUGAUUGAGGAGGAGACUCGUUUGGCACAACCGAAGGAGGAUGGUCAGGAGCGUGCAGAUGCUCGUGCUGCAUUAUCCAUACAACCUCGCCGUGCUACAAAUUCCUUUGGUAAGGUGGAUAAAAGCAAAUUGCUUUGUGACCAUUGCAAGAGAAAAGGACACACCAAGGAUGAGUGUUUUGAGUUGCAUGGUUAUCCACCUUGGUGGGAUAAAGGGAGAUCUCAGCUAGGGGGAGCUCGGGGUUCAAACAAAAGACAAGCUAAUUACAAUGCAUCUGCAAGGGAACUACAUGUGGUAGAUAUGCAAGCUCUUGAGGAUUUCAAAUCCAAGCUCAAAUUCUCUGAAGGCUCAUCUUCGUCCCAAGGUUCCUCCAAAGUUGAUUCUAGCUUUAAUGCCAUCACCCAAGGUAUGGAAUCCCACCAAGCCCAGUCAAAACCAUGGAUAAUUGAUACUGGAGCUACUAACCACAUGACAGGUGCCUCAAACUUGUUUACUUCAGGCACCUUCCAGUCCAGGCCAGCCAGGGUCCCGGCGACCCUCCUACUCCUACUCCUACCCCUCCCAACUGCCGCUGCCACUGUGCUCACCGAUUCUCAACGGAGGAAAUGGCCAUGCACAGCACACCACACCGCAGUGCACCUACCUAGGGUCGGUCCUCUACCUACCAACCCCCCCACUUUAACGCUAAUCUCCAACAGAAAAAAGGCCAANNNNNNNNNNNNNNNNNNNNNNNNNNNNNNNNNNNNNNNNNNNNNNNNNNNNNNNNNNNNNNNNNNNNNNNNNNNNNNNNNNNNNNNNNNNNNNNNNNNNCGAUUCUCAACGGAGGAAAUGGCCAUGCACAGCACACCACACCGCAGUGCACCUACCUAGGGUCGGUCCUCUACCUACCAACCCCCCCACUUUAACGCUAAUCUCCAACAGAAAAAAGGCCAAAGGCGACGGAGGCUGGACUCACUGGACUGGAAGCCACCCGGCCGGCCUCCUCCUCCUCCUCCUCAGUAGCCCUCACUCUCCCACACUGCUCACUGGUUGGUCGACGAUGAUAAAAACCUCCACACGAUAGGAAUCUCAAGCCAUCCUCCUCCUCCUCCUCCUCCCGGCAGUUUCCUCCACGGCUCCACCACCCCGAGCCCAAGCCAACCGAGCAAAGCGCACGCCAAAGCGAGGGGCUUUGCCUCGAAUCCUGGGCGAGCCGAGCCACGAGCCCCACCACCACUGCUUUCGCCUUUCCGUUCAUUCCAAGAACCGGCGUACGUACAUGGAGCCGGCGGCGGCGGACGGGGCCUCGGACGAGCCGGUGCACAAGGGGCGGACCAACUCCAUCCUGCUCCCCAUCCUCGCCGUGCUCCUCGCCUACCUGCUCUACCGCUACCUCCGCCCGCGCCUCCGCGGCCUGCGCCUCGACCGCCUCCCGUUCCGCGUCCCGGACUGCCUCCGCCGCCGCGGCAAUGCCACCCGGACCACCCUGCUGCCCUACUUCGCGCCCAUCGCCGACCGCCUCGGCGCGCUGCAGCCCUACCUCGGCCCCAUCGCCGACCGCCUCGGGGUCGGCGGCCCGCACGGCCACGGCGGCGGGUACGGCGGCGCCGACGCGCUCGUCAGGUUCCCCGGCGGCGAGGGCCUGUCGGUGGCCGCCAUCCUCGAGGCGCCUGGGGAGGUGGUGGCCAAGUCGUCGCACAGCACGCUCUACCGCGCCGCCAUGCGCUCCGGGGAGACGGCCGUGCUGCUCCGGUUCGUGCGGCCCGCGUGCGCCGUGGGCGCCGACGAGGCCGCCGCCGCCGCGCGCCGGAUCGGCGCCGUCAGCCACCCGAACCUCGUGCCGCUCCGCGCCGUGUACGUCGGGCCCAGGGGCGAGAAGCUGCUCGUGCACCCUUCUACGCCGCCGGCUCGCUCCACCGAUUCUUGCAAGGUCAGUGCAUGCGCAUCACUCACUCUUGCUUUGGUCGACAUGUUCAUCCUGAUUCGUACAAAUGCACAAUUUUGCUACGUCAAAAGUGCACAUGAGCCCACACCGCAAAUGAAACUUUUUCUUAAUUCUAUUUGUUGCGACGAGAUCACACAUGAAACAUUAUGCAAUUACAUUUCGUCACAAAGGGAAAAGCAUGGCGUGGUUGCGAAGCGAGUUCGAAGACUCCAAAAAGGCAGAUCAGCAGCUUUCACUAAACAAAAAUCAUUUGGGCCAUCAGUUUCAACUUUCUUUUUCGAUAAUCAGUAUCAACUUUUGAGGCAAUGUGGAAUGUGUUACACAGUUUGGUUAUGGUACAGAGUCCAUUUCUUAUUUCCAGUUCAUGUUCGCUGGUUCUUAUUAUUAUUGCCUACUGCGGCCAGGCAGGAAACAUUUCUCUGCUUUGGUUGUUAGCCUGAGACCUCACAUGACACUGUCCUGAAGCAAUGGUCCUGGCCAUUAAUGUUACAUAAGGUCAUUAGAUCACCCUUCACAAUCGUGAUCAUUGGGGCACACAAUCAGUCCAGUGUGUUGCUCAGUUAAAACAGUGGUUAGUGCUGUAUAGUCGUCUGUCAAACAGUAGUGAACAUAGUCAUUGUUGUGCCUUAAUUGAAGGCACAUGCACACAUGUGCAGUCUUUUCAAGCCAAAACCAUGCAUUCAUAAUAUUGGCAUUUGUUGUGAUGGUAGCUGAUGAUAGUCUGCCUGUGUGCUGCCAUUUUCACAGAGGGGAUCGCCGACUCGCAGAGAUGGAGCCUGAUCUGCAAGCUCUCCGUGUGCAUCGCCAAGGGGCUCGACCACCUGCACACGGGGAUGGAGAAGCCGAUCAUCCACGGCAACCUCAAGACGAGCAACAUCCUCCUCGACGCCAGCUACGAGUGCAGGAUCUCGGACUACGGCCUCUACCUCCUGCUCAACACCGGCGGCGCCCACGAGAUGCUGGAGGCGUCGGCGGCGCAGGGGUACAAGGCGCCGGAGCUGGUCAAGAUGAGGGACGCCACCAGGGAGAGCGACGUGUACAGCCUGGGCGUGGUGCUGCUGGAGAUGCUCGCGCAGAAGGAGCCCGCCGGCGACGACGACCGCGCGCCCAGCUCCCGCGACAUCUUCCUGCCGGCGUCGUUCAAGAACCUGGUGCUCGAGAGGAAGAUCUCCGACGCCUUCAGCUCCGACCUCGUCAGGCAGAGCAGGAAGUCGGGGAACGAGAAGAAGCUGAACGCGUUCUUCGAGCUGGCCACGGCGUGCUGCAGCCCUUCGCCGUCGCUCCGGCCCAACACCAAGGAGAUACUCAGAAGGCUUGAGGAGAUAGCAAAAUAAUUAACUAAAUGUGGGUAGGUUCACCAUUCAGACGUAGCACGAGGCAAGGCUCAAGGAACGACUGAACCUCUGCUGGACGGAAAAUUGGAGAAUGGAGGCACACGGUUCAGAUAUCAUGGAAUGUGUAUAGUCAGAGUGUAAGCGCGGUGGAGGCCAUCGUCUCAAGAAUAUACUCAUUGUACGUAAUUUAUUUUCUUGUGCUUUGCUUGAAACCGACCAUGUACAAAGUGUUGAAAGAGUGGGGACGGCGUAUGCUGCAUGUUCAUGCAUCAAAAUCGCCAUGUCGAUGUAACCUUGGUCUGAUCUGAGUGUUAUAUCAGAUAUGAUUGGUAGGAGCAUUUGCUGUGCAGCUUGUGAUGUUCCCGGUGCAUGUGCGGUUGUUCUACUUGUACGCACUGACAAGGGCCGGCAGGGAGUGAUUCUCUCCAAGGGAAUUAUGCCCAGCGUUGCCUGAUUUCGGUCUCUGCACAGUCAUGCUGUCCUUAACAGUGGCU
RNAcentral lists this long non-coding RNA (7692 nucleotides) under Triticum aestivum (bread wheat). RNAcentral describes it as "long non-coding RNA (TAES_LNC010533)". Lineage: Eukaryota; Viridiplantae; Streptophyta; Magnoliopsida; Poales; Poaceae. The record is from RNAcentral.